GACCAGAUUGCCUAAGGACACAGAGCUGGUCUGGAUUCCCACCAUGGCCUGGGCCCCGCUCCUCUUCCUCCUCCUCACGUACUGCUCAGGUUCUCUUGCCCAGUACGUGCUGACUCAGCCGCCUGCAGCGUCCGUCUCCCCAGGACAGACUGCCCGGCUCACCUGCACAGGGACCAGUCUUGGGAGCUACUAUGUACAGUGGUUCCAGCAGAAACCCGGCAGUGCCCCCCUGCAGCUGAUCUAUCAGAGCAGCAAGAGACCCUCCGGCAUCCCUGACCGAUUCUCUGGUGCCAUAUCUGGUGACACGGCCACGUUGACCAUCACUGGAGUCCAGGCCCAGGAUGAGGCUGAUUAUUACUGCCAGGUGUGGGAUAGCGGCAACAAUCAGUCCCACAGUGACACAGUCAGAUGGGAACUGAGACUCAAACCUGGUGUUUACACUAGGGAACUUUCCAAAUAUCAUUUGGUACUAAGGGCUCUGCUCAGAGGACGGGGGAUGCAGCGGGAGGUCAUGACAAUGGCCACAGCAAAAAAGGCGUCAUUCACCCUGAUUCCCUCCGUGUGA
Non-coding RNA from Alligator mississippiensis (American alligator), 565 nucleotides. The record is from the annotation of a RefSeq genome assembly. NCBI's taxonomy places the organism in Eukaryota, Metazoa, Chordata, Crocodylia, Alligatoridae.